CAGUGCAUUGUGGGAUGGUAAGACACCUUGGCCUUCACCCUCUAGAUGGCAGUAGUGCUCUCCUCCCUGCCUGUUGUAGAAACCAAAAAUGUCUCCAGACAUUAAGAAAUGUUUGCCUUCUCACGCUCUUCUGAGGACUACUGUUUUAAGUAGAAUAUCUACAAGUGAAAUUGCUGAGUCAUAUGGAAGAAACCCAAGCCAAAUCCUGCUCUCCUGAAAAUACUUCUAUGAAGGGCUGGCAAAUCAGAGCUCUCUCAGUAACAGAAAUGCAGCUGAAACAAAUUCUAAUUUCACUGAGGCUGGUGUCAAGGCUAUCAACAGGACCUUAGGAAAUCACUGAUGACAGGUA
RNAcentral lists this long non-coding RNA (349 nucleotides) under Felis catus (domestic cat). RNAcentral describes it as "lncRNA (ENSFCAG00000053636.1)". Lineage: Eukaryota; Metazoa; Chordata; Mammalia; Carnivora; Felidae. The record is from RNAcentral.